GCCGAGCUGGGUAACGUCAGCUUAUGACCUGAGUGGGGGCAAGAGGAUGAUUGGACAAGGCCAUGGCUUGCUAAACUGGUCUUGAGGUUGCAACUUGCUGGCCUGCCCACUCCAAGCUGAGAGUUGAGCCAUGGGAUCUUUGUGAAGGCAUAGGUUUCCUGGUUCUUAGACAGGAGGGCACAGCGUGAGGCUGGUUUCACCUCCAGUCCUACUCGAGCUUGGUGAGCCUUGCUCCUUGAACAAUCAUUUUUUUUUUAUUAACUUGUGCGUCAUAAACCUAGGCGUGCUC
This 289-nucleotide signal recognition particle RNA is filed under the name Vigna angularis (adzuki bean). Its description in RNAcentral is "SRP RNA Plant_SRP". It matches the Rfam family "Plant signal recognition particle RNA", at positions 1 to 201 of the family's 305-position model. Lineage: Eukaryota; Viridiplantae; Streptophyta; Magnoliopsida; Fabales; Fabaceae. The record is from RNAcentral.